CGUACGAGGAACGACUCAAGCGACUCAAUCUCUUUACAUUGGAGAAAAGACGCCUACGAGGGGAUAUGAUUCAAGUCUUCAAGUAUCUAAAAAAGUUCAAUAACGUCGAUUACUCCAAAUUCUUUGAACUGCAAACCAACUCAAGAACUAGAAAUAACGGUUUACCCAUUCAGUCGAGUCGAUGUAACACAGACAUUGGAAGGAGUUUCUUUUCAAACCGAGUCAUCCGCCACUGGAACAAUCUUCCCUCAGAAGUAGUGAAUGCGAAUACCAUCAACUCCUUCAAAUAUGGAAUCGACCGUCAUUUCGCUGCGUCGGGAGUAAACUGAGUAACGAGGGGCUUCCAUCUGCUCCUCAAUAUCGAGGUGCUUUCAUCUGCUCCUCAAUAUCGAGGUGCUUUCAUCUGCUCACCAAGCCCCAAGUGGCGGUCGAGCAGAUUAAAUCACCCAAGCGGGCGACCUCGUAAUGAGCCAAUAGGCUUUCUGUUGCCUGCAUUUCCAUGUUUCCAUGUUUCCAUGUUUCCAUUUCCUUCAUCUUUCUCCUUCAUCUCUUCGUUAUCAUUCCUUCUCUACUUCUUUUUUCCCCUUCUUCUUCCUUCUCAUCCCAUUACUUCAUUCCUUCUACUUGUACCCAUCAAUUACACCUCCUUUUCUUUCAUCUAUCUCCUUCUCUUCGUUAUCAUUCCUUCUCCACAUCUUUCCUCCUUCUUCCUGCCUUCAGUUGUUCCCUUUCUCCUUCGGUUUUUCCUUCCACUAAUCACACUCCUCCUCCUCCUCUUCGCCAGGCAUCAGCAGCUCCCCGGAGGACCUCGCAGCUCGGCGCCAACUCUUCGGCAGCAACGUGAUCGAGCCCAAGCCGCCGCCCUCCUUCCUGCGCCUGGUCUUCGAGGCGCUCAAGGACACCACGCUCAUCAUCCUCCAGGUCGCGGCCGUCAUCAGCAUCGUCCUCAGCUUCUUCCAUUCCGAGGGGCAGGCGGAUGCCGGUGAUGAGGGAGAAGUGCUACCCAACAAAGAGGAGGAGGCGGAGCAGGCGCCGCCGUGGAUCGAGGGCGGGGCCAUCCUUAUUGCCGUGGCCGUGGUGGUCCUUGUCACCGCCUUCAACGACUACACCAAGGAGAGGCAAUUCCGGGGGCUGCAGACGAGGAUCGAGAACACGCACGCCUUCUCGGUGGUGAGGUCCCGCAGCAUGAUCCAGGUCCCCAUCUCAGACAUCCUGGUGGGGGACAUCUGCCAG
Long non-coding RNA from Eriocheir sinensis (Chinese mitten crab), 1233 nucleotides. RefSeq lists it as uncharacterized. The record is from RefSeq and is a predicted model, not a curated record. Lineage: Eukaryota; Metazoa; Arthropoda; Malacostraca; Decapoda; Varunidae. The transcript is spliced from 4 exons.